Molecule: unclassified non-coding RNA, 402 nt
Filed under: soil metagenome
Description: partial contains 5.8S ribosomal RNA, internal transcribed spacer 2, and large subunit ribosomal RNA
Rfam family: 5.8S ribosomal RNA (bases 1-120)
Source: RNAcentral
GAUGAAGAACGUAGCGAAAUGCGAUAAGUAAUGUGAAUUGCAGAAUUCAGUGAAUCAUCGAAUCUUUGAACGCACCUUGCGCCCUUUGGACUUCUGAAGGGCAUGCCUGUUUGAGUAUCAUGAACACCUCAACUCCUUAUGGUCUUCCAUGAUGAGCUUGGACUUUGGGGGUUUUGCUGGCCUACAGUCAGCUCCUCUAAAAUAAAUCAGCUUACCGGUGUUUGGUGGGUAUCAUGGGUGUGAUAACUAUCUACGCUCGUGGUUUUCCACCAGGUAACCUUCAGCAGUGGAGGUUCACUGGAGCUCAUAGAUGUCUCUCCUCAGCGAGGACAGCCCUUUGAAUGUUUGAUCUCAAAUCAGGUAGGACUACCCGCUGAACUUAAGCAUAUCAAUAAGCGGAGG